This 71-nucleotide transfer RNA is filed under the name bovine gut metagenome. It matches the Rfam family "tRNA". Rfam says of the family: Transfer RNA (tRNA) molecules are approximately 80 nucleotides in length. The record is from RNAcentral.
GGGCGUUAGCUCAGUUGGAAGAGCACCUGCCUUGCAAGCAGGGGGUCGAGAGUUCGAAUCUCUUACGCUCC